CCAGACUCCUACGGGAGGCAGCAGUGGGGAAUAUUGCACAAUGGAGGGAACUCUGAUGCAGCGACGCCGCGUGAGUGAAGAAGUAAUUCGUUAUGUAAAGCUCUAUCAGCAGGGAAGAAAGUGACGGUACCUGAAAAAGAAGCUCCGGCUAAAUACGUGCCAGCAGCCGCGGUAAUACGUAUGGAGCAAGCGUUAUCCGGAUUUACUGGGUGUAAAGGGAGCGUAGGUGGCAGGGCAAGUCAGAUGUGAAAACCCGGGGCUCAACCCCGGGAGUGCAUUUGAAACUGUCCAGCUGGAGUGCAGGAGAGGUAAGCGGAAUUCCUAGUGUAGCGGUGAAAUGCAUAGAUAUUAGGAGGAACACCAGUGGCGAAGGCGGCCUACUGGACUGUAACUGACACUGAGGCUCGAAAGCGUGGGGAGCAAACAGGAUUAGAUACCCUUGUAU
Molecule: ribosomal RNA, 445 nt
Filed under: uncultured bacterium
Lineage: Bacteria
Description: bacterial SSU rRNA
Rfam family: Bacterial small subunit ribosomal RNA
Source: RNAcentral